AUGCAGUCGAGCGGUAGCACGAGAGAGCUUGCUCUCUGGGUGACGAGCGGCGGAUGGGUGAGUAAUGUCUGGGAAACUGCCUGAUGGAGGGGGAUAACUACUGGAAACGGUAGCUAAUACCGCAUAACGCCUACGGACCAAAGUGGGGGACCUUCGGGCCUCACGCCAUCAGAUGUGCCCAGAUGGGAUUAGCUAGUAGGUGGGGUAAUGGCUCACCUAGGCGACGAUCCCUAGCUGGUCUGAGAGGAUGACCAGCCACACUGGAACUGAGACACGGUCCAGACUCCUACGGGAGGCAGCAGUGGGGAAUAUUGCACAAUGGGCGCAAGCCUGAUGCAGCCAUGCCGCGUGCGUGAAGAAGGCCUUAGGGUUGUAAAGCACUUUCAGCGAGGAGGAAGGGUUCAGUGUUAAUAGCACUGUUCAUUGACGUUACUCGCAGAAGAAGCACCGGCUAACUCCGUGCCAGCAGCCGCGGUAAUACGGAGGGUGCAAGCGUUAAUCGGAAUUACUGGGCGUAAAGCGCACGCAGGCGGUUUGUUAAGUCAGAUGUGAAAUCCCCGCGCUUAACGUGGGAACUGCAUUUGAAACUGGCAAGCUAGAGUCUUGU
RNAcentral lists this ribosomal RNA (607 nucleotides) under uncultured bacterium. Its description in RNAcentral is "bacterial SSU rRNA". It matches the Rfam family "Bacterial small subunit ribosomal RNA", at positions 55 to 652 of the family's 1533-position model. The record is from RNAcentral.